UACGAAGGGGGCUAGCGUUGCUCGGAAUCACUGGGCGUAAAGGGUGCGUAGGCGGGUCUUUAAGUCAGGGGUGAAAUCCUGGAGCUCAACUCCAGAACUGCCUUUGAUACUGGAGAGCUCGAGUCCGGGAGAGGUGAGUGGAACUCCGAGUGUAGAGGUGAAAUUCGUAGAUAUUCGGAAGAACACCAGUGGCGAAGGCGGCUCACUGGCCCGGUACUGACGCUGAGGUGCGAAAGCGUGGGGAGCAAACAGG
Molecule: ribosomal RNA, 253 nt
Filed under: uncultured bacterium
Lineage: Bacteria
Description: partial 16S ribosomal RNA
Rfam family: Bacterial small subunit ribosomal RNA
Source: RNAcentral